UAACGCGUUAAGUCCCGCCGCCUGGGGAGUACGGCCGCAAGGUUAAAACUCAAAGGAAUUGGCGGGGGCCCGCACAAGCGGUGGAGCAUGUGGUUUAAUUCGAUGCUAACCGAAGAACCUUACCAGGGCUUGACAUGUACCGGAAGACUGCUAGAAAUAGUAGUCGCCUCUUCGGAGGCCGGUACACAGGUGCUGCAUGGCUGUCGUCAGCUCGUGCCGUGAGGUGUGGGGUUAAGUCCCUAAACGAGCGCAACCCCUAUCCCUAGUUGCCAGCGGUUCGGCCGGGCACUCUAGGGAAACUGCCAGCGAUAAGCUGGAGGAAGGAGGGGAUGACGUCAAGUCAGUAUGGCCCUUAUGCCCUGGGCUACACACAUGCUACAAUGGGCGGUACAAUGGGUUUUGCUACCCCGUGAGGGGGAGCUAAUCCCUAAAGCCGCCCCCAGUGCAGAUUGCAGUCUGCAACUCGACUGCAUGAAGCCGGAAUCGCUAGUAAUCGCGGAUCAGCAAUGCCGCGGUGAAUACGUUCUCGGGCCUUGCACACACCGCCCGUCACACCAGCCGAGUCGGUUCAGCCUGAAGACGC
This 583-nucleotide ribosomal RNA is filed under the name uncultured Pseudomonadota bacterium. RNAcentral's name for it is "bacterial SSU rRNA". It matches the Rfam family "Bacterial small subunit ribosomal RNA", at positions 853 to 1430 of the family's 1533-position model. The record is from RNAcentral. Lineage: Bacteria; Pseudomonadati; Pseudomonadota.